GCAUGUAUAAUUUAACUGGCAGAAUGGGUGAUUUCCAAUCACCUUAUGCGGGUUCGAUCCCUGCUACAUGCA
Amphimedon queenslandica is the source of this 72-nucleotide non-coding RNA. Lineage: Eukaryota; Metazoa; Porifera; Demospongiae; Haplosclerida; Niphatidae. The record is from Rfam.